UCGGCAUUUUCAGGCAGAACGAUUUC
RNAcentral lists this unclassified non-coding RNA (26 nucleotides) under Mus musculus (house mouse). Its description in RNAcentral is "oocyte_clustered_small_RNA5066". The record is from RNAcentral. Lineage: Eukaryota; Metazoa; Chordata; Mammalia; Rodentia; Muridae.